RNAcentral lists this ribosomal RNA (1656 nucleotides) under Triticum aestivum (bread wheat). Its description in RNAcentral is "partial small subunit ribosomal RNA". Lineage: Eukaryota; Viridiplantae; Streptophyta; Magnoliopsida; Poales; Poaceae. The record is from RNAcentral.
AUGAAGAGCAAAUCCGCCAAGAAGGCCGCCGACGAGGAUGAGGCCAAGUCCAAGAAGAUCCGAUCCUCGCGCGGCAAGCGUCGGAGUGUCCGCCACAGCCGCAGCCGCUCCCCUUCCCCCGACGGCUCCAGCUCCAGUUCCCCACCCCGCAAGCGCUCCAAGAAGCCCACCAAGAAGAUUGUUGACAAGAGGAGGAAAAAGAGCAAGGGCAGUGGCAGCCGCCGCCGCCGCCGCCGCAGCCUGAGUCCAAGCCGUAGCCCCAGCGGUAGCCCUUCCUCGGUGUCCAGGAGUCACUCCCGCUGCAGUCACCAUAGCAUUAGCAGCAGCAGUGCCUCAGACUCUGAGAGGUCAGUUAGCCCACUGCCCAAGAGCCACUCCAAAGAUCCUAGGAAGAAGAAAGGAAGGGGGAGGGACAAGGAUCGAAAGAGGAGGCGGGUACGGAGAUCAAGGAGCUACUCGAGCAGUCCAGCCAGGAGUGGAAGUAGCAGGAGCAGGAGCAGGAGCAGGAGCAGGAGCAAGAGCAAAAGUAGGAAGCAGAGGGCGGACGGCACGAGACAUUAUGCAAGUAGGGACAGGGUUGUACAGGACUAUGACAAGUGCCAGGAUCCGCAGAAUGAGAAGAGAUCUGUUGAGGAUGUUUAUAGCGAGGAGGACGCGGUUGCUGACGAUUAUGAGAAGAAUGUGGAGCUGAAGGAGAUGGAAAGCCCACCUUCCAAGGAUGCUAAUGAAACGGGUGAGAUCUUACCUGUUAGUUGCGAAAGCCCAGAAGUUGAGGAGGAUUUGGAGCUCAUUCUCAGGCAGAAAGCUCUUGAGAACUUCAGGAAGUUUAAGGGAGCCGUGGCCAUGGUAGGCAAGACAGAAAACAAUGGUACAGGGAAGGAAGUACUAGCAGAUAGCCCCCAGAAUACUGUCACAAAAUUUCCUGAAGCAAGGUCUGCUGUUGUCCCUUUUCAGAGGCAGGGAAGCAAUAUUGGAGUUGGCCACUCUACUCGAUCACCUGAAUUUGAUGAUUUUGAGAAUGGUAGAAGUCCUUGGAAGCAGGAAACGACUCACAGGGAUAGAUCACCUGGAAUACUCGAGGCUGGUGAUACUUGUGGUCCUACGCAACAGCAGGGAAGCGGACUAGAAGAGAUUCGUUCAACUUCUCAUAUCACUUCACAUGAUGGUAGGAAUGGUGGUAGUGUAAUGCAAAGGUUGGGAAGCACCCCCGCGAGUUCUGGUAGUAUAAAGCAAAGGUUAGGCAUCAGCUCAGUGGUGAGUCCUGUGCAAGCAAGACCCAGAGUUAGAUCAGUUGUGAGUAUACCCUCCAGGGAAGGGCUUGAUGGCAGUACAUUUACAACAAUCCCUACAGUUUGUGAGAAUCCUGCCUCUGUCGAAAGCAGUAGUGAAGUAAGACAUUUUCCUGCUGAAAUAAACAAGCUUGAAGGAAUCGAUGGAGAUGAUAGAAAGAUUGGUGAAGCUUCAAUUCCUGAGAGCUCUGUUUUGUCGACUGAUGCGGGCAAGAGCCAGGCAGCAGGGACUGAGGACAAAGAUGGUUCUCAGUUUGAGAAGAGGACUUUCUCUAGGAUGCAUGAUGGAGAGACAGUGCAGGUCAGCUAUAAAGUCUACAUACCAGCGACAAGCCCGCGACUUGCAAGGAGGAAGCUGCAGCGCUGA